This 205-nucleotide unclassified non-coding RNA is filed under the name Hevea brasiliensis (rubber tree). Lineage: Eukaryota; Viridiplantae; Streptophyta; Magnoliopsida; Malpighiales; Euphorbiaceae. The record is from RNAcentral.
CUUUCAAGUAGCCAAAACGCUUUCACAGGGCUUGCUGGAACUGGGUUUUGCACUUCUACAUUCACCUUUGGUUCAGUUCCUAAAGAUGGGUCUUCAUCUGGCACUGGUACUGGUUCUUUGUUUGGGCAGAAAAAUGACCAGCCCUCAUUUAGUUUUGGUCUUUCUAAUAAUGGUAAUUCUUCAAUCUUCAACACAAUGGGGUCAA